AACUUAGCGUCGCUAUAGGAACGUGAGUAGUUAACAAACCGCUAGUGUUCAGCAGUUUUCUGCGGACUUUUAUCAUCCCAUUUAAAAUGGCUUUACCGGUGUUCCCUGGACAUUCGCUCAACAAAAAUCUGGGAAAAGAAAAGUUUCACAAGUCUCAGCAUUUUGAUUACUUCAAUGGCAUGCCAUUGAUGGUGGGAGCAGAGAAGCCUGGCAUUGGAGGAGAACUGCUCUUGGGCCAAAGAGCACGACCUAAAUACUCAGUGUUUCCCAAAGGAGAAGGCAGUGAGGCCCCCUCCUGGGUAGCAUUUGACAAGCAGGCUCUUUGCUUCAAUGCAUAUUUCCAAGAAGCUGUUACUCAGAGCAGAGAGGAAACUUAUAGGAUUCGACAAUGUAAGAUUUAUUUCUACUUGGAAGAUGACACCAUACAGGUUGUGGAGCCAGAGCUAAAAAACAGUGGCAUUCCACAAGGAACACUUAUCCGUCGCCAUCGCAUUCCUCUCCCACCUCCUGAUGAUGACCAGUUUUACAAUUUGCACCAUUUUAAUAUCAACCAGGAGAUGGUUUUAUACUCCAGGACCUUUAUGAUAACAGACUGCGAUCCUUUCACACACAACUUCCUGAGGAAAAUGGGUGUGCGUCUCAACGCCCUUGGUGCAACACCGACAGACCCUUAUACAAAACUUCGUCAGGAGCUGGAGGACAGCAUGAAGCCACUGCGCCCGUAUGAGCGGCAGGAUACCUUAAAGCAGUUCCUCGACCAUGACCGCAAUGUUCUGCGUUUUUAUUGCUACUGGGAUGAUACCCAAAGCAUGUUUGGAGACCCCAGAGAACUGAUCCUGCACUACUUCUUGGCAGAUGACACCAUAGAAAUACUAGAAGUCAGAUAUCCAAACUCUGGCCGAGAUACUACUCCUACAUUUUUACACAGGAGCAAGCUUCCAAAGCAUGCUCCUACUCCCAAACGCCUGCCUGGAGAAAUAACAGACCGUACUGUCCUCAAUGUAUUUGGGCCAGUGGGACAUGGGGGUCGCUACAUUUUGGACAGCCUCAAAACUGGUGCUAUACAUGAGGAGUUCUACAAAGAUUGUGACCUGACCAUAGGAGGGGUCAUUAACGUCUGGGGCCGGAGAGUGAUGAUUUGUGACUGCGAUAACUUCACCAAAGAGUAUUAUCGUUCCAAAUACGGCAUCGAGGACUUCACUCCUGUGGAGUAUAAGGCCCCACCACCAGCUAAAGCAGCUGUCCAGGUCCCUCCUUACACUGGCUUUGGAUCGGAGGAGGACUCCAUUCGCUCCUGCCAGGGGCUCCUGCCCAAACCCCCUCAGAAAGACUUCAGGAAGCUAAUGGAAAAAGACAGGCAGGGCCUGGUGAGCCAUGUACUGAGAUUUGUGGGCAAGAUGCUGACAGACAACCCUACUGACAUGGACCGCACAUUCAUCAUCUCCUUCUACCUCAGUGAUGACACUAUAUCAGUGUUUGAACCCACUCAGAGGAACUUGGGAGUUAUUGGAGGUAAAUUCCUGGAGAGAAGCCGUGUGAAGAAGCCAGGACAGGAGCUCUUUAAGAGUGAGAUGUCUGAGUACUACAAAGCUCAGGACUUGUACGUGGGAGCCAGACUCAGUAUAAACAACCAGCCUUUCCAGUUAGUCGAUGCUGAUGAGUAUGCUUUCAAAUAUAUGGAACAGCAUGCAGAAGAGUUCCCUAGGGCCAACGCUGGCACCAUUUUGAGCAAGUUAAAGUCAAUUCCUGAAGAGAAGCAAAAAGAAAUCAAACGGUUCCUGGCAUUAAGUGACUCAAGCAACACUGGCUUCAUUCCUUAUGAGUCUUUCAGGUCUCUGUUGGCAGAUAUGGACGGUCAGCUGUCGGAGCAUGAGAUUAUGAUGCUAGGCCGUAUCUACUCGGUGAGAGAGCAGCCUGAGCUGGACGUGGGUCUCAUGCUGGCCAUCGCUCAGUCGCACCUGAAGAAGAAACAGUUUGAGAGUUUCUCAGACAUGCUGCGAGCUUUCACACACGAGGACAGAGACAGAAGUGGGCAUUUAUCCACCAGAGAAGCUAGGAUCAUCUGCAAAGCCUUCCAAUUGCCACUGGACGAUGACCUUUUGAGAGCCCUUCUGCACAAAUUUGAGAAUGAGUCUGGGAAGGUGGACUAUCACGCUUUCCUGUCAGGGAUCAACUGGAGAGAGAAUGCCUACAUACCACUUCCACCAGAUGCUGUUAUGAAAAUGUGCCAGUUACCCAUGCCAAGGGCAGUGACACACCCCCAUACCAUGACAGACUCUGGCUUUUGGACCUGAUGCUGAUAACAGCUUGGAUGGUCCUUUUCCUCUGUGGCCCGGAGAACACGACGGCUGUUUUGUCCAAAAACUAUUUGAAAUGUUGACUUGUCGGACCACAAAACACGAUUCCACUGUGCUACUGUCCAUCUUAGAUGAGACAGAGCACAGAGAAGUCGGCGGUUGAGAAGCAGAGAAGUUGAGAAGCCCAGAGAAGACGGCGGCGCUUCUGGACAGUGUUGAUGUAUGGCUUCUGCUCUCCGUAGUAAAGCCUUAACUUGCAUCUGUGGAUGCAGCGGUGAAUGGUGUUGCUGACAAAGGUUUACCAAAGUAUUCCCGAGCCAUGUCAGGAUAUCCAUUACAGACUCAUGAUGGUUUUUAAGACAGUGACGUCUGAGGGAUCGGAGAUCACGCGCAUUCAGAGGUAGUUUUUGGCCUUGCCCAUUAAGCACCAAGAUUUGACUGGAAUCCUUGAAUCUUUUAAUUAUAUUGUGCAAGGUGUAGAAGGUGAAAUGCCCAAAAUCCUACCGAUUUGUGUUUGGGGAAUGUUGUUCUCAAAAUGUUGGCUUAUUCGCUGACGCAUCUGUUGGCAGAUUGGUGAGCCUCACUCCAUCCUUGCUCUUGAAAGACUAGGCCUUUUUUGGAGGCUCCUUAUAUACUAUGAUUAGACUAUUGCCUCACCUGUUUCACAUCACCUUCUUAUUUCAACUUGUCACAUCGCUAUUAGUACUAAAUUGCCCUUGUCCCAACUUUUUUGGAACGUGCGUCAUACAUCAAUUUCAAAAGAAACGUUUAUCUUUAAAAAAAAAAAAACAACAACAAAAAAAAACUAUGCAGUUGAUUAGGUAAAACAUCAAAUACUUUGUCUUUAUAUGUUUUUUGUUUAAAUACAAGUCAAAGUACAUUUACAAAUUACUUCCUCUUUGUUUUUAUCAGCAUUUUCCAUACUGUCCCAUCUUUUUCGGAACUGGGGUUUUAUGAAACAUAGCCAAAGGGACCUGAUUAUUAUUUUAUUUAGUUUUUACAGCUGUUAAAAAUAAAUCUGUACUGAGAGGGCCCAUGGAUUGAUUUAUAGAAAAAACAACAACUUUAAGAACCCCUGCUUUAGAGUUCUGACUGUAGCAGUGUGUUAUGGUACACAGGCAGCCAUUUUCUCUUACACUGCCUAAGCCUACACUAGAAGGCCACACACUAGUGGAAUACUCUGCCUUUAUCAAGGAGCUUUCUGGAUACGUAGAAGAGGAGUGACGUCAUCUUUGGCAUCAUGUCAUUGCUGCAGUACAUUAUUAAAUGGAAAUUUACCCAGAGCUUUUUAAUAAACUUCAUUUCAUUUAACUGCCA
Molecule: RNA transcript, 3614 nt
Organism: Ictalurus furcatus (blue catfish)
Lineage: Eukaryota; Metazoa; Chordata; Actinopteri; Siluriformes; Ictaluridae
Gene: efhc2
Gene name: EF-hand domain (C-terminal) containing 2
Exons: 16
Source: RefSeq, a predicted model, not a curated record